CAUUUUUAUCCCCUGUUCCGCCUUUGCCUCUGGGUUCUGUGAGUUGCCAGAGCUCUCUGCCACCGGGAACCAACAUUCGAGCUGCCCAAGAAACCACCAUUAGAACCACUACUGUUUUGAGAUUAUUGUAAAUUACCUUGCCGCCACCGUUACUGGAGGUAGCUGCCGGCUCUAUUUGGAGACUGCUGCUAAGUCACCACCGAAGCUAAGAACAUGUGCUGGGAUCGGAUGGAGCACCGCUGCUGCUAUGGAUUCAUAAUAUUGGGUUUACUGCGUUUAAAUUCUUCAAUUAUAGCUAAUUGAGUGACACAGGUUCGAAGACACAGUUUGAAGCUGCAGGCGAUUAUAGAAUUUAUUCAUGAGUUAAGUGUAUGAGUUAAUUUGCUUUCAUAGAGUUCCCUCGCCCUUAUUACUUUAGUCUUUAUUUUAUAUAGAGGGACAGGAUUUGUAUCUUAGUUUUAUUCGAAAUCUUUUGUAUGACAGAUAUUAUUAUUAAUAAUUAUGUGAUUAUUAUUACUUUGAAA
Non-coding RNA from Arachis ipaensis, 524 nucleotides. The record is from RefSeq and is a predicted model, not a curated record. Lineage: Eukaryota; Viridiplantae; Streptophyta; Magnoliopsida; Fabales; Fabaceae.